UUUGUCUGCAGCUAAUAUGCUGUCUGUUUCUGUUGAAAUGUUGACUUGGAGGGUCAUCAAAGCGUCAAGGUUGAUUAAUAGCAAUGUGAUUCCUUGCUGAAUGGAUAAAUAUGAAUUCCUCUAAAUGAGAAAGUAUGGCAUGAAGGAAUAAGGUUAUCAUGCUAUAGUGGCUAAUGAAGUGGAAAGUUACCAGAAGCUCAUUACAAAAGCAUUUGUUACAUGAUUGCGGCCACUGUUAUAAGCACCACCUGCCUCGCCAACCCAAGCAACAGCUGAAGUUCCUGAAUUCCUUAUGUCCUGCUGAAGGCUUCUGAAUAUGCUUGCUUCUUUGUUAAGGAUGGAUGGAUUUAAUAUUUUAUCCACAAGGCUAUCAUCAUCACCUGCAAACCAGAUGAAUGACAGAGGUACAUGGAUAGAAGUUUAUUUGCAGUUAAGAUUAUCUGAGAGGUUUUAAGGCUACUGAGAUCUAAGAGAUUAAGAAAUGGUCUCCUGGUAUAGGUGGGCUCGGGCUGGUUCAUAGCGGGCUAGGCUGUGCGGAUGGCCGGAUGGAUCCAUUUGGACUCACUGAAUAAUAUGGCGCAGAAACGCCUAUUGUUUUGUCAAUCUAUUUUUCUUAGAAAAUUGGGCUAACCGGGCCCGUUUAUGCGGUUUCAAAUUCGGACCCACUCGCUAGCUCGACUAGUCUCGACCUGAUGGCCUGGAGGUUGUGACUGGGUUAGACUGGCCCAUUAGCCACCUCUAUCAGUCUCUUCUUCCGAUAACUUUGUUAAUGUCUUUUAUUGGUCUAUCAUAUUUUUUGGAACUUUUGAAGUGGCUAUCAUAGUUUGAGGAGAUGGGAGGAAUAUGUCUUAAUUAUCAUGUGAAAUUGUUUGUAGUUAUAAAGUUGAAAAGAAGUAUCUUCUCCGUUCUGUUUUAAAUAAAAUAUUGAGGAAAAUGACACUAUUCAUUGAUCAA
Long non-coding RNA from Beta vulgaris subsp. vulgaris (sugar beet), 954 nucleotides. RefSeq lists it as uncharacterized. The transcript is spliced from 4 exons. Lineage: Eukaryota; Viridiplantae; Streptophyta; Magnoliopsida; Caryophyllales; Amaranthaceae. The record is from RefSeq and is a predicted model, not a curated record.